CUUAGCUCAGCUGGAUAGAGUACCUGGCUACGAACCAGGCGGUCGGAGGUUCGAAUCCUCCAG
Molecule: transfer RNA, 63 nt
Filed under: Vibrio parahaemolyticus
Lineage: Bacteria; Pseudomonadati; Pseudomonadota; Gammaproteobacteria; Vibrionales; Vibrionaceae
Also listed under: 4 other names
Description: tRNA-Arg
Rfam family: tRNA
About the family: Transfer RNA (tRNA) molecules are approximately 80 nucleotides in length.
Source: RNAcentral